Molecule: ribosomal RNA, 560 nt
Filed under: Salmonella enterica subsp. enterica
Lineage: Bacteria; Pseudomonadati; Pseudomonadota; Gammaproteobacteria; Enterobacterales; Enterobacteriaceae
Description: partial 23S ribosomal RNA
Rfam family: Bacterial large subunit ribosomal RNA
Source: RNAcentral
GGGUUGUGAGGUUAAGCGACUAAGCGUACACGGUGGAUGCCCUGGCAGUCAGAGGCGAUGAAGGGCGUGCUAAUCUGCGAUAAGCGCCGGUAAGGUGAUAUGAACCGUUAUAACCGGCGAUACCCGAAUGGGGAAACCCAGUGUGACUCGUCACACUAUCAUUAACUGAAUCCAUAGGUUAAUGAGGCGAACCGGGGGAACUGAAACAUCUAAGUACCCCGAGGAAAAGAAAUCAACCGAGAUUCCCCCAGUAGCGGCGAGCGAACGGGGAGGAGCCCAGAGCCUGAAUCAGCAUAUGUGUUAGUGGAAGCGUCUGGAAAGGCGCGCGAUACAGGGUGACAGCCCCGUACACAAAAGCGCAUAUGCUGUGAGCUCGAUGAGUAGGGCGGGACACGUGGUAUCCUGUCUGAAUAUGGGGGGACCAUCCUCCAAGGCUAAAUACUCCUGACUGACCGAUAGUGAACCAGUACCGUGAGGGAAAGGCGAAAAGAACCCCGGCGAGGGGAGUGAAAAAGAACCUGAAACCGUGUACGUACAAGCAGUGGGAGCACCCUUUGGGG